ACGUAGGAGGCAAGCGUUAUCCGGAUUUACUGGGCGUAAAGCGUGUGUAGGCGGUUCGGCAAGUUGGAUGUGAAAGCUCCUGGCUUAACUAGGAGAGGUCGUUCAAUACUACCGAACUUGAGGGUAUCAGAGGAAGGUGGAAUUCCCGGUGUAGUGGUGAAAUGCGUAGAUAUCGGGAGGAACACCAGUGGCGAAGGCGGCCUUCUGGGAUAUUCCUGACGCUCAGACACGAAAGCUAGGGUAGCGAACGGGAUUAGAGACCCCGGUAGUCCUAGCAGUAAACGAUGUAGACUUGGUGUCGGAGGUGUCAAAACCUUCGGUAUCGUAGCUAACGCGAUAAGUCUACCGCCUGGGGACUACGGCCGCAAGGUUA
This 373-nucleotide ribosomal RNA is filed under the name uncultured bacterium. RNAcentral describes it as "bacterial SSU rRNA". It matches the Rfam family "Bacterial small subunit ribosomal RNA", at positions 525 to 896 of the family's 1533-position model. The record is from RNAcentral.